Prinia subflava (tawny-flanked prinia) is the source of this 2686-nucleotide long non-coding RNA. RefSeq lists it as uncharacterized. The record is from RefSeq and is a predicted model, not a curated record. Lineage: Eukaryota; Metazoa; Chordata; Aves; Passeriformes; Cisticolidae. The transcript is spliced from 4 exons.
CUGAGGUUGUUCCUGCAUCCCAUGACUGCUAUUAUUGAGAUGUUUAUUCUCCUGAAGGUGAUUGCAAUGAUUGUUGUUAAAGUACAAAAACAAGCUCUGUCCAGGCUCUUUUCCCAGAUUUGGGAUCUUCACCAAAGCUAUGAUGGUGUUUUAGAUCUGGAUCCUUGCCUCGUUCACAUGGCUGUCUGAUUCACAAAAACCAUCUCUGGGGAGUGUUUAACAAAGGCUUUACAGGAAAGGUCAGGCAUCAUCCACGUGACAGCAGGGGUCUGUGGUUAUCCAGUCACUCAAAAGCCCUGAAUUGCCAAAAUCUUUGCAGACUUUGCAAGAUCUUCAGUGAGGAGCUUCCCUUUUAGAAACCCAGAGAACCUCCUGCCCACCACAGUGCCCAGGUGGCCACCAAGGCGAUGUCCUCACUCCUGGCUGUUUUGGCACCACCCAGGUUACACCUUGCAAUCCCAAAGAGGUGAGCAGCCUCCUCAGGGAUCACAGAAGCACAGAAUGGAUUGGGUUGGAAAGGACCUUUAAAGGCCAACUGGUCAAAUCCCCCUGUGGUGAGCAGGGGAAUCCUCAUCAAGGUCAGGCUGCCCAGAGCAUCAGGAUUGACUCGAUGCCAACACCUCCAAAAGCUGUUUGCACAGGGGUCUGUAAACCUCCAGCACUGUUAGUUCUCUUGGCUUUGUGGGCCAGGAGGAGCUUGUGGGAUCUCGUGGUUAUUCCAGCAAGGAGGGGAACAUGAUGACACCGAGGAGGAAUGCAGCUCCCAGCCAAGGUGGUGGGCACGCUCCCGGCUGCUCUGCUCCAGCACCCGCGGUCACCCCGGGCUGCCAGUGCCUCCCCCUGUCCCAAACUCCCCGUUAUCCCUGUAUUCCUCAUUUUGCCUGGCUCCACAGCCUCACUGACAGUGUGCUCCCUGUUUGUUUGGGGUGCUGCUGCAGGAAUCUGGGGACAAGGCUGGUGUAGCUGCUGCCUUCAUGGAGGAGGAGAGCAGCUAUUUCUUGUUCUUCCCUUUCCUGGUGUGCAGCAGGCUCACAGCCACCCCCAGAAGCAGCUGCCUUGAUGAAUAUUUGCCCAAAUCAUUAUGCUUUCUAGCAGUUAGCCUGCAAAAGGCCCAGCACCAUUUGUAUGGUAAUGGAAGGCUUUCUCAGAAAUGUUUUGGAAGCAAUCAGCUAAACUAAUAGGAUUUUAUGUAAACCAAUCUCUUCCUUUAGAUCAGGGUGGUUCUUUUUUUUUUUUUUUCUGGAGAGGAGGGUAAGAGCUUUUUAAUAAAUGCAAAUUGAUAUUUCAAUGAAAAUGGAAAUGAGAGAAAAAGUUCAUCACCAGGGUAAAAUGCUGUGACUUUGCUCCACCAGCAGCUUCGUGCCUGAAUCUCUGCACAUUCCCCAGCCACAAUGAGUUUCUGAGGUGCUGAGGCAUGGGGCAAUAAGGAGAAGAGCUUUCCUCCACCUUCACACUCGAGUGAGACAUUAACCAGGCUGGAUUUUUCAUCACCCCAUCAAAGCUGUGGUUUCUCCAGUCCUGGACCUCUGCAGAGGGUCAUGGCAGUGGUGGUCACAGGGAGGAGGCUGUGGCUGGAGGGGGUCAGGCAGUUGUUAUUGCUCACUCCUGCUGUGGAUCAGCAGCUCUGGUACUCUGUAACUUGAGCUUUCUGCACCCCUCCAGCAGGAUUUGAGAAAAGUAAGGGAUGAGAAGCACUCAGAAUUCUGAUUUAUGCUGUGUACUCAAAGCUCUGCUUUCAAGGUAAGUGCUUUGCACUGGGAAUUGUUCACUGCAGUCACCCACGACCAAGAGCUUUUGCUGCAAGCCCCAAAUGCUUUCUCACUUGGGACAUAGCCAAGGUAACUUUCUUGGCCCUGCUCCUGCUUGUCUCUCUGUUAAAAGGGCCUGAUACAUGACAGCAAAUUGUUCUUGAAGCAUGAGCUGGCUUGGAUCACUGCAGUCAGUCAUUUAUAAACAAUCUUGUUUAUAUGUACAUACAUAUAUAUAUACAUAAAAUUAAAUUAAACUCUGAUCUGUAGAUGUGAUAGCACUGCUGGAAGUGCUGUUCAUGGAGACUCAGGCCAGUGAGGGUCAGGCAUGCAGCAGGGUUUCAGGUGAAACCUCUCACCCUGUGAGGCUGAACAUGAAUUUGGAGCAGUAGGGGUUUGGGCUUGUCCAUCCUGUGUAGCAAAGGACAGGAAAUGUACAUGAGGAGAGAGGCAGGAUGUGCCCCCAAGGCCUUGGAAAGCAAACUUCAGCAGCACAUGGGCAGAAUGGGCAUGCUGAGCAUGGAAACCUGGUUUUUAGAAAUACCUUCCUCCCUCCAGCAACUUUCUUAUUCAUACCAAGACAGCUGUUGAUGGUGCAGUCAUGUAAUGGGAUUGCUGAAAAGAUUUGGGGUUCUCUCAGGACAGAAAGACCUUUCUCAGUCUUUGGUCAUGCGCAAGAAGACGAGGCCUGAUCAGAGCCUCAUGAUGGGAAGACAAAAUCUGACCUACAAAUACACCUGGGACUUCUGUGUCAGAAGAGGAAGAUGGGAGAGAUCAUGAUAAAAGCACCGGGUUUCAAGAAGACAAUUAUCAACAAACUCAAAUGUGAUACAUAAGAACUCUUAAGAGGAUGUGUCUGUGGUGAAUCCAAGUGGAUCCUGUUAUCUCUGAGUCCAUGAGGAUGAUGAAGGUGUGUUGCUUUGGCUUUACUGCUUGGU